AGACUCGAGCUCGACAGGUGUUGCAUGGCUGUCGUCAGCUCGUGUCGUGAGAUGUUGGGUUAAGUCCCGCAACGAGCGCAACCCUCAUCCUUAGUUACCAUCAGGUAAUGCUGGGGACUUUAAGGAAACUGCCAGUGAUAAACUGGAGGAAGGUGGGGAUGAUGUCAAGUCAUCAUGGCCCUUAUGGAGUGGGCUACACACGUGCUACAAUGGUGGCUACAAUGGGCUGCAAAGUCGCGAGGCUAAGCUAAUCCCUUAAAAGCCAUCUCAGUUCGGAUUGUACUCUGCAACUCGAGUGCAUGAAGUUGGAAUCGCUAGUAAUCGUGGAUCAGCACGCCACGGUGAAUACGUUCUCGGGUCUUGUACACACUGCCCGUCACGCCAUGGGAAUUGGUUUCCAUGGAGCUAGCGG
Molecule: ribosomal RNA, 412 nt
Filed under: uncultured Wolbachia sp.
Lineage: Bacteria; Pseudomonadati; Pseudomonadota; Alphaproteobacteria; Rickettsiales; Anaplasmataceae
Description: bacterial SSU rRNA
Rfam family: Bacterial small subunit ribosomal RNA
Source: RNAcentral